CUCUUGCGCAAUCAAAACAAUAA
RNAcentral lists this small nuclear RNA (23 nucleotides) under Arabidopsis thaliana (thale cress). RNAcentral's name for it is "snRNA_02375". The record is from RNAcentral. Lineage: Eukaryota; Viridiplantae; Streptophyta; Magnoliopsida; Brassicales; Brassicaceae.